CACAUGCAGUCGAGCGGUAGAGAGAUGCUUGCACCUCUUGAGAGCGGCGGACGGGUGAGUAAUGCCUAGGAAUCUGCCUGGUAGUGGGGGAUAACGCUCGGAAACGGACGCUAAUACCGCAUACGUCCUACGGGAGAAAGCAGGGGACCUUCGGGCCUUGCGCUAUCAGAUGAGCCUAGGUCGGAUUAGCUAGUUGGUGAGGUAAUGGCUCACCAAGGCGACGAUCCGUAACUGGUCUGAGAGGAUGAUCAGUCACACUGGAACUGAGACACGGUCCAGACUCCUACGGGAGGCAGCAGUGGGGAAUAUUGGACAAUGGGCGAAAGCCUGAUCCAGCCAUGCCGCGUGUGUGAAGAAGGUCUUCGGAUUGUAAAGCACUUUAAGUUGGGAGGAAGGGCAUUAACCUAAUACGUUGGUGUCUUGACGUUACCGACAGAAUAAGCACCGGCU
RNAcentral lists this ribosomal RNA (450 nucleotides) under Pseudomonas sp. BSF3(3). Its description in RNAcentral is "bacterial SSU rRNA". It matches the Rfam family "Bacterial small subunit ribosomal RNA", at positions 52 to 498 of the family's 1533-position model. The record is from RNAcentral. Lineage: Bacteria; Pseudomonadati; Pseudomonadota; Gammaproteobacteria; Pseudomonadales; Pseudomonadaceae.